RNAcentral lists this long non-coding RNA (261 nucleotides) under Solanum tuberosum (potato). RNAcentral's name for it is "long non-coding RNA (STUB_LNC001330)". The record is from RNAcentral. Lineage: Eukaryota; Viridiplantae; Streptophyta; Magnoliopsida; Solanales; Solanaceae.
GAAAAACUCCUUGAUGGAAAAUUCACACAGGCUAUCUAGCGUAAAGAUGAUGGAGAAAGACGUAACAGAGUGGGAUAAAUACAAGAAGAGAUAUUCUUAUAGGAAGUACUACGGGAGAUCGUCUUAUUUCUACAUAGUGGAUAAAUAAGGUGUCGAUCGCUGCAUUGCAUGCUUGGCACAAUUUGCGAGGACAUGGGAUGGAACCCUAAGAGGAAAAACAGUCUUUGCGUCUUUGGGAUGAACCAAUGGAUUACACAGGGG